This is a long non-coding RNA of Sparus aurata (gilthead seabream), 2270 nucleotides long. Lineage: Eukaryota; Metazoa; Chordata; Actinopteri; Spariformes; Sparidae. The record is from Ensembl.
GGUUACUUGUGAAAUGAGAUGUAUACCUCUCUCCCCCCAUUAAAAAUGACUGAAAAUUGAUCAACUUAUUACGAUUUUAGGCGCUAGCGCCAAAAGCGGAACUAAUGUGACUCAGCGUUCUACACGGAGUAAUUACAGCGACGCAUCCAAACACUGCGUUGCCGGGUGCGAAAUGAGAAUGGCAGCAAGAAGUCUUGAACAGAGGCUCUUCUGAUGUCUUGUUGCAAGAGGUGAAGAUAUCAGCAAGUCCGAUGUAGCAGUGCAGCCCAAGUUGAACAUAUUCCCAACCACUUUGAUGGGGGACAGGAGACGGAGCUAUAGGCCAAACUGUGUUUCCCCUAGGAAACUUUUGGCGAGACUUUUGGGAAGUAUUCAGCCUCUUCACCGCGGUCUCAGAACCACCCGCCUGGCUCCAUUUCUUAACCAGGUAAAUGAAGCCUUUUGCUAACAAGUUUAAUUCAUCUUGGUGUUUGUUGACGUUUAGUUGUGUUGGAGUGCGUACGUCCACAUGAAUUUAGUUGAUGGGCUGGUUUCCUGCAACACUAAACGCACAAUAUGGAAUGUGGAUGGUUUGAAUAGAUAACUUCAGUCAUUUAAGUCAUCUUUGUUUUCUGUGACAUCAAGCCAAGUUUUCUCCGUCUAUCUGAAAUCAAAUCUAAAACUUGAGUAAGUUCACAUUCAAGGUGCUUCAGCGCACUAUGCAAACUGGCAACUGUGUGAGAGGAAAUUGUCUGUGUGUGUGUUUGAGAGAGAGAGGGUUUGUGGUGUGAUGUUUGUGGUUGUGUGACAACAACUAAAAGUGUUUUGAGGUUAUUUACUGCAGGCUGGAAACAAUGUGUGUGGUUUGCGAUGUUGAAACUGGACUGGUAGAUCUCAGGAGGUUUGCUUCUUGAAAAGUAGAUCUUCGGUCAAAAAAAGGUUGGGCACCCCUGGUCUACACUGAUGUCAACAUCUGCACUCCGCUGUUGUGUGACUCUUGCUUGCAAAGCAAUAAACAACUUCUAGAGAACAAUAUGUGUGGGAUUUGGUGUUUGACCAGUUCUCAUCUCAUCAUUCUCAUGAAUCCAUUUCAAAGUGCAAAAAGAUGCUCCUUAAAAAUGCAAACUUCCCAUAACUGAAUUUUGACACAAAACAAAUUAAAGAAACACUGAAACCAUGCUUGCCAUGAUAGUUGUCCAACUUCAAACAUUGUAAGGUAUGAAACUCAAUUUAAAAAUCUUGUUUCAGUGAGAUACAGUUGAGUCUGUACCAGAGUGACAAAAGACGUUCUCUCACUGAGAACAGCUUGAAAAGUGCCAUAAGUGAGUUUUGACCAGAAACGAAUAGAAACACAACUGAAAUCAUGUUUGCCAUAAUAUUUAUCAAAUUCAUAGAUUCUAAGGUUGAAAAAUCAUUUUUCAAAGAAAUACAGGUCAGAGUGCCAAAAGACACCUCGCUCACAGCUUGAAAAUCAGCACAAGUUAUUUAUGGCAGAAAAUGAUUUAAACCACAACUGAAACAUUGUCUACCAUGUUAUUUUAUCCAAAUUCAUACAUUCUGAGGUGGUCAAACUUACUAACAAGAAUUAAUUAAACAAAACUUAAAUUCUGUUUGCCAUAAUAUUUAUCCAAAUUUAUACAUUCUAAGGUGGGAAACUUUUUUCAGUGAGAUACAACCUAAUCUAUUUCUUGGUGCAAUAAGAUACUUUUCUCACUAGGAAACACUCAAAAUUCACAUAAUAGUGGGGCGGCUUAACAGCAUAAUUCCAAAGAAUCGUGCACUUUGUGAUAAAAGCGUAAAAUUUGGUACACUUAUAGCCAAACACAGCCCAAAAAAAAUUAGAUAUCGGGCCAUCUAAAAUUUUCAAUAUGGCGGCCGUGGCAGCCAUUUUUCAAAAUGGCCGCCAUUGACUACUAUUUCCAUGUGAAUUUUCUUUUGUGUGUUGAUUAUAAAAUGAUAUUGAUCAUACAGUUAGCUACAUUUAUUUACCUCUUUGGAGUUUGUACAUGAAUGAUACAAAUACAUUUCAAGAUGGCUGUUAUUUUUCAAGAUGGCCAACAUGACUGGUGUGAAAAUCGUUACUGCUCCAAAGUUGCAUGGAUUCCUGUGAUAUGAAUGAUAUUAAGAUCAAAUCACACAUUGUUAUGAUUAGGAUUUCAGGUGGCACCUUUAGUAUUUAGCCUAUUUGGAAGCUCACAAUGCACGAUAGGCCUAACUGACAAUAGUAACUGUCCAAACAUGGGGUCAAUCGUAAGUUCAAGGUCAAAUUGGCAACAGCUAGCCUGUCGAAC